Molecule: ribosomal RNA, 500 nt
Filed under: uncultured bacterium
Lineage: Bacteria
Description: partial 16S ribosomal RNA
Rfam family: Bacterial small subunit ribosomal RNA
Source: RNAcentral
AUUGAACGCUGGCGGAAUGCUUUACACAUGCAAGUCGAACGGCAGCACGGACUUCGGUCUGGUGGCGAGUGGCGAACGGGUGAGUAAUACAUCGGAACGUGCCCAGUCGUGGGGGAUAGCGUAGCGAAAGCUACGCUAAUACCGCAUACGAUCUAAGGAUGAAAGCGGGGGAUCGCAAGACCUCGCGCGAUUGGAGCGGCCGGUGGCAGAUUAGGUAGUUGGUGGGGUAAAGGCUCACCAAGCCGACGAUCUGUAGCUGGUCUGAGAGGACGACCAGCCACACUGGGACUGAGACACGGCCCAGACUCCUACGGGAGGCAGCAGUGGGGAAUUCUGGACAAUGGGCGCAAGCCUGAUCCAGCCAUUCCGCGUGCAGGAUGAAGGCCCUCGGGUUGUAAACUGCUUUUGUACGGAACGAAAAGGCUCUGGUUAAUACCUGGGGCUCAUGACGGUACCGUAAGAAUAAGCACCGGCUAACUACGUGCCAGCAGCCGCCGUAA